UUCACCGCUUCACUCUCUUCCUUCCCAAACACACUUUCACAUUCAAACCCAACAAAUCCGCCAUUUACUAUUAUUUGUACUGCUGCUACUUAGUACUCCACUACUUAUAUUAUUCCCUCACUCCUCGGAAUCUCUUCAGUUUCCCGCUACUCUUUCUCUCUCUAAAUAUCUAAAUCUUAAACCCUAAUUCACUGUAAACGGUCCGUUUCAUUCAAUUCUACUUCGCUUUAUCCUUCUCUCUCUGCCUUUAGUGUGAGGAUAUCUUUUGGCUGCAAGAUCAUGAUACAAGUUAAGGAGGAAUCUCAGACUCUGGACUUUGGUGGAUUUGCUUCUUGUUCAUCUUUCUCUGAUAGCAGUUACGAGGCUAGCACUCCGAGAUACUCCUCCGAACCUGGUUCUAGUUAUCGAAGGAGCUCAGGUCCAACUAAACGUUCUUCCCAGGCAGGCUGGACGGAAGAAGAGGAUAAUCUGUUGACUGAAGUGGUGAAAAGGUUCAAAGGGAGAAACUGGAAAAAAAUAGCUGAGUGCAUGAAUGGAAGGACUGAUGUGCAGUGCUUGCAUCGCUGGCAGAAAGUUCUGAAUCCAGAGCUUGUAAAGGGUCCUUGGUCAAAGGAGGAGGAUGACCUGAUUAUUGAGUUAGUUGAGAAAUAUGGCUGUAAGAAGUGGUCUUUUAUUGCUAAGUCUUUGCCUGGUCGCAUUGGCAAGCAAUGUCGGGAAAGGUGGCACAACCAUCUUGACCCAACCAUAAAAAGAGAUGCUUGGACUGAACAGGAAGAAUCAGUCCUAUGCCACUAUCACCAAAUAUAUGGGAACAAGUGGGCAGAAAUUGCGAGGUUUCUGCCUGGAAGGACUGAUAAUGCAAUUAAAAAUCAUUGGAAUUCCUCAGUAAAGAAAAGAUCAAACUUGAAUUUGCCAAGUAGGUUAGUGCUGGAUACCGAAAGUGAGGGAUCUCCUAAUUUCUCUAGUGACAAGAAAAAACUAGAGAUCAAGAAGCAUCCAUUACAAGCUCAAAAUGCAGAACAAACAAUCUUUUUAGGCGAGCAGACAGGAUUGGAUAAUGCUGCUGUUGCUUUGUCAACUGAUCUGAGAAUUGGAUAUGCUUAUUCUGCUGGAAAUGCUUUGCAUAAGGAUACUUCUUUAUUUGGAGCCUGUAUAUCAGCAGAAGAAAAUGUGAGGGAUCUGAUAAAGCCACUUGGUGGAAUACAAUUUGGCAAGGCAGAUGUUCUUCCGAUUGGUGAGACAGAUAAACCAUGCCAAUCCAAUUUAAGUCGCACUAAAAUAUCAUAUCCACUCUCAGCCUCUUCUUCAGAUCUUCAUUUGGAUCAGUUGCACCACACAAGAUGGAGUACUUCUCAAGUUGAGGCUGUUCAUCCUACUACUUUUGGGAGCAUGUAUGAAUCUCCCAAAAGGUCUAGGCACGACACUGUUAAUGAUCCUGACCAUGAUUUUUUGAGUUUGUCAUUGGCUAGCUUUACCGAGGUUCAUUCCCAAAGUAACAAGAAGAAUAAAGCAUAUGACACACAAUCUUCUUUGGGUCUCAAGCAGCAGGGCUCCUUGUAUUAUGAACCACCACAGUUAAAGGACUUGCUGAUUCCUUUAACAGAUGAAAACCUUAGUAGAGACAACCUUAUCAGGCAAAAAAAUGGUCAUCCAUUUUGCUCUACACCUCCUAGUCUUAAAUUAACAGUCUCUGCUAAUGGUAGUAGUCCAGAAUCUGUCUUAAGGAAUUCCGCAAUGAGUUACACAGGGACUCCUUCAAUCAUAAGAAAGAAGAAUUCCAGAUUUCCCGAAGCUGCAACGCAUUCUAGUUGCACAGGCACCACCACUCCCACACAUAAUUUCCCAAGAGCUUCUGACAGGGAAGACACCUCAAACCUGAAGGACAGAUUUUCUGGAUGUAAAUCAUCAGUUUCGGGAAAAUCUCUUGGAAGACGGUUGGAAUAUGCCUUUGAUAUGGAAUGGGAUGCCUCUAGAUGUUGCACACCAGUUUCUGCAGCUUCACCCUGUGCACUUAGACUUGGUGCUAAUACGAUGCUGACACCAUAAAAAAGGAUUAAUUCUGAGGAUCAGUCUGGAGAGGCUUUUGUUGUAGCAUCACAAGCUGUCAGAUCAUAUGAUCUGAUGGAUCGAUCGGCUACUUCUUCAAGGUCAAAUCUUUGAGGAAAGAAAAUGUCAAUGAAACAAUGACAUGCUGAGCCACUUUGAGAAGGCCAAGUUAAAGCUGAAGAAUUAGUUUGAAAUGGAAGUUGUAAUUUUGGCAGUCACAAAAACUUGUGAGCUUAUGGGACUAAUGAGAAAAUAUGGCAAAAAGCUAUAAACUACAUGAGCAUGGAAAUUUGUUGGAUAACUCUUGUUUUGGGAGUUGUCCCUAAUUCUAUAUGGAUGUAAUAUUAUAAUUUGAUUUUUCCCUGCCCUACUUCAGAAAUUUAGCGAAGGAAGGAUUUGUAAAUAUGCAUUUAAAUCAAUUGCCUUUAGUUC
RNA transcript from Nicotiana attenuata, 2478 nucleotides. RefSeq lists it as uncharacterized. The record is from RefSeq and is a predicted model, not a curated record. NCBI's taxonomy places the organism in Eukaryota, Viridiplantae, Streptophyta, Magnoliopsida, Solanales, Solanaceae. The transcript is spliced from 10 exons.